UUGGAGGGCAAGUCUGGUGCCAGCAGCCGCGGUAAUUCCAGCUCCAAUAGCGUAUAUUAAAGUUGUUGCAGUUAAAAAGCUCGUAGUUGAAUUUCGGGAUUGACGUGACGGUCGUGCCUUAAGGGGUAUGAACUGUCGCAGUUGAUUUCUCACCUUCUGGAGAAGCAUGAUGUCCUUAAUUGGGUGUCAUGUGGAACCAGGACCUUUACCUUGAAAAAAUUAGAGUGUUUAAAGCAGGCAUUUUGCUCGAAUACAUUAGCAUGGAAUAAUAGAAUAGGACGGCAUGGUUCUAUUUUGUUGGUUUCUAGGAUCACCGUAAUGAUUAAUAGGGAUAGUUGGGGGCAUUAGUAUUCAAUUGUCAGAGGUGAAAUUCUUGGAUUUAUUGAAGACUAACUACUGCGAAAGCAUUUGCCAAGGAUGUUUUCAUUAAUCAAGAACGAAAGUUAGGGGAUCGAAGACGAUCAGAUACCGUCGUAGUCUUAACCAUAAACUAUGCCGACUAGGAAUCAGACGAUGUUAAUUUUUUAAUGACUCGUUCGGCGCCUUACGGGAAAC
This 555-nucleotide ribosomal RNA is filed under the name uncultured Glomeromycotina. RNAcentral's name for it is "SSU rRNA". It matches the Rfam family "Eukaryotic small subunit ribosomal RNA", at positions 548 to 1098 of the family's 1831-position model. The record is from RNAcentral. Lineage: Eukaryota; Fungi; Glomeromycota.